GGGAUUAUGGCUCAGUGGUAGAGUGCUUGUCUUGCAUGCAAGAGGCACUGGGUUCGAUCUUUAACACCA
Molecule: transfer RNA, 69 nt
Filed under: Ictidomys tridecemlineatus (thirteen-lined ground squirrel)
Lineage: Eukaryota; Metazoa; Chordata; Mammalia; Rodentia; Sciuridae
Description: Spermophilus tridecemlineatus (thirteen-lined ground squirrel) tRNA
Rfam family: tRNA
About the family: Transfer RNA (tRNA) molecules are approximately 80 nucleotides in length. Their secondary structure includes four short double-helical elements and three loops (D, anti-codon, and T loops).
Source: Rfam by way of RNAcentral